RNAcentral lists this ribosomal RNA (494 nucleotides) under uncultured bacterium. RNAcentral's name for it is "partial 16S ribosomal RNA". It matches the Rfam family "Bacterial small subunit ribosomal RNA", at positions 28 to 507 of the family's 1533-position model. The record is from RNAcentral.
GACGAACGCUGGCGGCGUGCUUAACACAUGCAAGUCGAACGGAAAGGCCUGCUUUCCCUUGUGGAUUGCGGGUACUCGAGUGGCGAACGGGUGAGUAACACGUGAGUGAUCUGCCCCCAACUUGGGUAUAAGCCUGGGAAACUGGGUCUAAUUCCCGAUAGGACUGCAGGGUGGUGCCUGUGGUGGAAAACGAUUUUCUAGUGGUUGGGGAUGAGCUCGCGGCCUAUCAGCUUGUUGGUGGGGUAAUGGCCUACCAAGGCGGCGACGGGUAGCCGGCCUGAGAGAGUGGACGGCCACAUUGGGACUGAGAUACGGCCCAGACUCCUACGGGAGGCAGCAGUGAGGAAUAUAGCACGAUGGGCGGAAGCCUAAUGCAGCGACGCCGCGUGGGGGAUGACGGCCUUCGGGUUGUAAACUCCUUUCGACAGCGAGGAAGCCACCUGGUUGGAAGGGUGGUGACGGUAGUGGUAGAAGAAGCACCGGCUAACUACGUG